AUUUCAUUGAACAAAUCAAGAGACCCUUUCGUAGCUCGCAUUCUUCGUUCUCAUUCUUCGUUCUCUCCCUCUCUCUCUCUCUCUCGCUCUCGAUCACACCUCCGCCCCCGGCCGCACUCCCGACCCAAAGAGAAAACCUAGAUAUCGCAGUAGAGACAAAUGAGAUCGAACGGGACGAUUUUUUUGUAGAUGAUUGAACCUCAUUGACGGAUAGUUAUGGAUGCUGCCGAGAUUGAAGAGAAUCUGUUUGUGGCGCGCGAUGCGAAGUUGCAUGGGGGAAUGUAUAGAAUACUUUCAACAAUCGUUUGUAGAGUGCUGGAGAUCUUUCCGUUAGUAGAAGCAGCAAGACCCAGAACCAAGUCUGGAAUACAGGCACUUUGUGCAUUGCAUGUGGCCCUUGACAGAGCUAAAGGUCUUCUUCGACAUUGCUCAGAUUGCAGCAAGCUUUACUUGGCUAUAACUGCAGAUUCCAUCCUUAUGAAGUUUGAGAAGGCAAGAUGCUCUCUUGAAGAAAGUCUUAGGCGUGUUGAAGACAUAGUCCCACAAGCUAUUGGUUGUCAGGUAUAUUAUAGAGAUCAAACUACUCAAAUAUUUGCUGCAUUAUUUGACAUCAUGUUUCAGUACAUAACAAUGUUUUAUUUGCUUGGCCUUUAUAAUUACUUCUGCACCAGUGCUGUUAAAUAUAGAGUUUUAUGAUGCCUUUGUUGUAAUUUACAAAAGGAUCUAUGCUCAUAUGUUCUAUCUGCGAGUGUUUUAGCCAACAAGCUGUGUGCACACCAACUAAAUUUUAGGUUUUUGGUGAAUUCCUCAUUUGAACCAGACACCAACUUAUAAGAGUUUAAAGUGAGGUUGAUAGCUGCUUGUAAAAUUUUCAUAUGCUUAUUCUAGGACUGAAAAUACCAUUACUUGAACUGAAACUACCAAAUCUUCAACCUAAGCUGGUGCCAAAUUUGCUACCAUGUUUGCACAUUGCUUGAAACUGCUUAUGCACUCCAUAUGUUGGUGCACAGACAAUUGUGGGUGCAUGCCACCUCCAUUGAUGUUAUAAAUAAACUCCUACUAUUCUGUUUUCUUAAACGUAUAAGCAACUGCAUUCUUCUUUCCUGCUUUUGUGGAUGUUUGAUUGUCUCAUGGUACAUGAAUGCUUUUCCUUUCCUGGUAAAUGCAAUAAGCUCUCAGAUAGUUUUAAGUUGUAUAUUUAGAAAACACCAGCAAGGAAAUAUAUGGGACAUUAUCUUUAAAUAUGUUGUAUAAUAAUUGCCUGUUGAAAUAGUCUAAUUUUUUUGGAUCAAAUUAGGUAAAAAUCAAGUUUUGCAUAGUUUGGACUUUUGAGUGUUCUGUAACAUAACGGAUGGUGAUGAUCUAGCAUAUGACAACCUAAAUGUUCAUGAUAUUUAGGCUCUAAGAUGGUUAAAUCCAUUAGCAAAUUAUCUCUAGGUUUCUUUUGAAUCCAAUAUAAAAACAUGUCUAGAUUCUCAAUUUUUUUUGCCUUUCAAGAAAUGUGGUGGGAAUGCUACCUUCUAGGUUUGAACGUGGAACCUCUUCUCAGCACAUGCACCGAGGUUAGAGGCAGCAAUCAGCAGACUCAAGUCCCAUGGUCAAAUCUUGUUAAAUUCUCAUUUGAUUUUGACAAAAAUGAUUCCUGGAAUUGAAGAAAAUUGAAAAUGACAAAAUAUUAACAAAAAAUGACCCACAGAUAUAAUACAUUAGCCCCAUAAUUCUUUUUUGGCUGAAAAUCUGAAACCUGAUAGUAGCUUCAGAUUGCUUUUGUAUAGAACUUAAUGCCAAGCUUCAUGCUCUUGUUUUGUCCACUGCUUCUUCUUUAUCUAUCUGGUUGAGCAUCUAGUGCUUCAGUCUAUAGUUUUCCCUGAGGGAAGCUCCCUUUUCCAUUCCUUCUAGUUGUUUUCAUGUCGUAACUGAUUCUUGCCUUGCUUAUGGACUGUAGGUGCUUUGCUUUCCCUGUGAAUCCAAAUGAUUUUAAGAUCCAAUUUUUCAUCCUUAAGGAUAGUGUCUUCUCUUUUGUGUUUCUUUUCCUUUGCCCAGUGUCGUCACUGGUGCUACAGACAUUCUGACUAGCCUCAUAUUUGUCCACCACCGAGGAGCCUGAGAAAAUCCUCUCUAAUUAGUAUCUAUAAUUAACUGGAAUGGUGGGCAUGCAUUGUGGAGCCUUUUGGUUCUCUAUGAAUUCACCAUAGAGGUUUCCUUCAAAUGCCUCCAAGAUAAUUCUCUAUUAACUCCAAAUGGAACUGCACGCAAAUUUUGCAAUGUUACCUCUGCCUUAAUGCAGGUGUACAACUUUGACUCUAAUCAAACCAUUGCCCCUGAGAUGAAGUUAAACCAAGUUAUGGAUGCAAAAGAAGAGUAACGGUGGUGUUCCCUAUUGGAAUUGUGAAUCCUACUUAUUGAAUGAUAAAAAAGAAAGGAUAGUUUGUUAAAUUCAGCAAUCCAUUUGCACCAGUCCAUGUCGAUUCCAGUCCUUAGUAGAGGAUGGUUGGUGGGUUGUGUUUCAUUAUAAAGGAUACCUAUGCAUGUAACAAUGAUUUUGUAUUCCCUGAACUUGCAGAGGUUGAGGUUUGGAUAAACCUAUAGUUAUCAAGAGCUUGGGUGGCUAUUUCGUAAAUGUCAGAAUUUCUUACUUUUGCGCCCCCUCACUUUAGUUGGAAUAACUCAUUGCCUGACCAUUUUUGCUAAUUACAGUUGAAUUAUAACUUAUACAAAGCAGAACUAUUCACAAUUGAAUUUUUCUCCAUACUGAUGAAAUAUCGUGACCAGACCACAUCUAUUUAAAAUUCUUCCAUGUAAUAAGCCUGUAAUUUCAGCACUUUUCAUGUUUGAUAUAGUUGAAAAUUACUUGACUUAUUACUGUCAUGAAUAAAAAGAUCAACAAACUUUAAUAAACAAAUAUAGAUUAAAGCAGAGAACCAACUGGUGCUUAUUAACCCAAUUCAUCUUAAUAGUGUUGAUUAUAAGUUAAUAACAAACCUGAAACAAACAAGCUAAAAAGAUACAGCCGAAUGCAUUUCUCCAAUUGAAGUCUAUAUGAAAAACAUAUACUUUGACCUAUUUUAUUAGGAUUCCUUCAACUAUUUUGAGUACUCCUUGUGUGCUUAUAUUCAUCUUAGUUCAUAAACACAUGCCAUCUGUGGUUCUCAUUUUAAGGUGACUCAGAAUUAUAAUUACACCAACUAGUUCUAGGACAAUCCUAAGAUUGGAAAACUGUGAGGACUCGAUUCCUUUUUUCUUUCUUGGGGCUUCAGUCUGUAAUUCCAUCUACCUUAUGUGGAGUUGGGUUCAUCUAUUGGGUGUGGAUGCUUGUCUAGGCAUCAUAUCCUUUCAAUACCUAAGAAUAUCUUCUCAUGGGGCUGUAUCUGAUUGUUAUACCAUUGUUUGUGUUUAACAAUUAAGUGCAGGUACUUUAAACUAAUAAAAGUGUUUGGGUAACAUUGAUUUCCUUCAAUCCCUUGUUUUAUAGCUGCUUGAAAUCUACUGAAAGCAAUUCCUUGAAACCUAGUAGACCUGGCCAACUUGUUAUUUGCAACCUAAUUUGGUAGGGUCAAAUCCAAACAUGGCAUGUCAAAAACCUGUUUGAGCCGCUAAUCCAAGCAGUUUGAUCAUUGAAACCUGCUUGGUUGACUGCUUGAACAGGCCAUAAUCUCUUAAAGAAAUAUGAUUUACCUAUAUCUUAACAUCAACAAACCAUUACUGUAGCCUUUUCUCCAUCACUAACCCUAAAGCCCACCCCCUAAGCAUCCUGAUGGAGGACCCAUUCUUGGCACCUAGAAACUAAUCAUUGUUGCACAGGUCUGUUGACAUUUGCUAUCUCAUCUGCACCAAGGGCCACUAGCUGAUGGCCAUGGAGUUCUUGUCAAUCAAAUGGGAUCUUGCUUACAAUUCUUAGACUAGGUUAUUGUGAUGGUUGGAGGAGAUAGAUAACAUACUACGGGUAGAUAAAGAGGGAUUGAAGCAAAAAAGUGAAUAAGUUAGUUUUGGUUAGGUUAAAAAAUAGGAAAGGAAAAGAGUCAUAACUCAACUUAUGUCUGAAAAAAGGGUUCAAGGUGUCUUUGACCUUUUUUGUACUUUAUUUUUCUAGGCACAAACAUCACUUUAGUUUUAAAAGUCAUUUUCAAAAUAUACUUAAAUAGAAGUUAUAAAAUAAAAAAAGAACUUCUAACCCUAUUAUUUGUAGGGAACCUUAUCAAUAGUGGUAUGUGGACACUACGGCUCACGUAGUAUACAAUCAGGCAGAGCAAGGAUGGUGUUGUAUGCUGAGGGAAACUUUAUGACUAGAAAAUCUAACAUAAUUGUGGUCUAUCGAGAUUUCUUGUUGAUCAUGAUGGGAAGAGUGAUUUACCCCUUCAAUUGGUAUAGGGUCUCCGAAGAAACCAACUAAUGGGGAAUCAAGUUUCUGAAGCCAAUCUAUUAGUAGAUUCAUCUUUUGAAAAGCUUUCUAAAAUAAAAUAUUGAUAGAACUUUCAUUAUCUAGCAAAACCUUUUGUACAUCAUAAUUAGCAACAGUAAGUGAAAUAACAAUUGUAUCAUCAUGGGGGUCUGUACCCUCUCUAAGUCGGCAGUUGAGAAAGAUAUGACUUCUUGGAUCUCGACCCUUUUGGGGAUGAAACCCGCAUUAGAGCUGCUCAAGUAUUCUUCCAAGUUGAAGAGCUUGAUCCUCCCAUUAUGGGUCCUCUCGAGAUUAUGUUGAUAACUCUGGUUGUAGGUUGGUGAUGUUCCAAUUUCUUGGACGAGCAUCUACCUCAUCUCCCUUCCUCUUCUCAGCAUCGAUCGUGCACGUAAUAACCAAGGUAUCCUUGGCAAAUAAGAGCUUCAAUCUCAUCCUUUAGUUUGACGCAUUCCUUGGUGUCGGGGCCUUGAUCUUCAUGGAAGUGAUAGUACUUCCAUGAUUCCUGACAUUCAAGGAAGUUUUCAUUUUCUUCGGCCAUUGAAGGUGUUGGUGCAAAAAUCCGCUUGCGCCGGAG
Elaeis guineensis (African oil palm) is the source of this 4973-nucleotide non-coding RNA. The record is from RefSeq and is a predicted model, not a curated record. NCBI's taxonomy places the organism in Eukaryota, Viridiplantae, Streptophyta, Magnoliopsida, Arecales, Arecaceae.